CUCUUAUCCCGAGUUGGCGGAGGGACAGGCCCGAUGAAACCCAGCAACCUGCUAUUAUUAAACUUGACUCAUCUGAAUGGUUUGGAUGUUAUAACAAGUGGAAUUUUAGCGAUGGUGCUAACCUGAUGCAAGGCUAAGAAACCCUUGAACGAUAAGAG
RNAcentral lists this non-coding RNA (158 nucleotides) under Bacillus sp. (in: firmicutes). RNAcentral's name for it is "Bacillus sp. SAM-I sequence". It matches the Rfam family "SAM riboswitch aptamer (S box leader)". From Rfam's summary of the family: The SAM riboswitch is found upstream of a number of genes which code for proteins involved in methionine or cysteine biosynthesis in Gram-positive bacteria. The SAM riboswitch acts at the level of transcription termination control. RNAcentral also lists the same sequence under 1 other name. The record is from RNAcentral. Lineage: Bacteria; Bacillati; Bacillota; Bacilli; Caryophanales; Bacillaceae.